UACGGAAGGCAGCAGUGGGGAAUAUUGCACAAUGGGCGCAAGCCUGAUGCAGCCAUGCCGCGUGUAUGAAGAAGGCCUUCGGGUUGUAAAGUACUUUCAGCGGGGAGGAAGGCGAUGUGGUUAAUAACCGCGUCGAUUGACGUUACCCGCAGAAGAAGCACCGGCUAACUCCGUGCCAGCAGCCGCGGUAAUACGGAGGGUGCAAGCGUUAAUCGGAAUUACUGGGCGUAAAGCGCACGCAGGCGGUCUGUUAAGUCAGAUGUGAAAUCCCCGGGCUUAACCUGGGAACUGCAUUUUGAACUGGCAGGCUUGAGUCUCGUAGAGGGGGUAGAAUUCCAGGUGUAGCGGUGAAAUGCGUAGAGAUCUGGAGGAAUACCGGUGGCGAAGGCGGCCCCUGGGACGAAGACUGACGCUCAGGUGCGAAAGCGUGGGGAGCAAACGAGGAUUAGAUACC
This 454-nucleotide ribosomal RNA is filed under the name uncultured bacterium. RNAcentral's name for it is "bacterial SSU rRNA". It matches the Rfam family "Bacterial small subunit ribosomal RNA", at positions 340 to 786 of the family's 1533-position model. The record is from RNAcentral.